AGUGAACGCUGGCGGUAGGCCUAACACAUGCAAGUCGAACGGCAGCACAGUAAGGGCUUGCUCUUACGGGUGGCGAGUGGCGGACGGGUGAGGAAUACAUCGGAAUCUACUUUUUCGUGGGGGAUAACGUAGGGAAACUUACGCUAAUACCGCAUACGACCUACGGGUGAAAGCAGGGGAUCUUCGGACCUUGCGCGAUUGAAUGAGCCGAUGUCGGAUUAGCUAGUUGGCGGGGUAAAGGCCCACCAAGGCGACGAUCCGUAGCUGGUCUGAGAGGAUGAUCAGCCACACUGGAAAUGAGACACGGUCCAGACUCCUACGGGAGGCAGCAGUGGGGAAUAUUGGACAAUGGGCGCAAGCCUGAUCCAGCCAUACCGCGUGGGUGAAGAAGGCCUUCGGGUUGUAAAGCCCUUUUGUUGGGAAAGAAAAGCAGCAGGUUAAUACCCCGCUGUUCUGACGGUACCCAAAGAAUAAGCACCGGCUAACUUCGUG
Molecule: ribosomal RNA, 492 nt
Filed under: uncultured bacterium
Lineage: Bacteria
Description: partial 16S ribosomal RNA
Rfam family: Bacterial small subunit ribosomal RNA
Source: RNAcentral